GAGUUUGAUCCUGGCUCAGAUUGAACGCUGGCGGCAUGCCUUACACAUGCAAGUCGAACGGCAGCAUGAUCUAGCUUGCUAGAUCGAUGGCGAGUGGCGAACGGGUGAGUAAUACAUCGGAACGUGCCCUGUAGUGGGGGAUAACUAGUCGAAAGAUUAGCUAAUACCACAUACGACCUGAGGGUGAAAGUGGGGGACCGCAAGGCCUCAUGCUAUAGGAGCGGCCGAUGUCUGGUUAGCUAGUUGGUGGGGUAAAGGCCCACCAAGGCGACGAUCAGUAGCUGGUCUGAGAGGACGAUCAGCCACACUGGGACUGAGACACGGCCCAGACUCCUACGGGAGGCAGCAGUGGGGAAUUUUGGACAAUGGGCGAAAGCCUGAUCCAGCAAUGCCGCGUGUGUGAAGAAGGCCUCGG
RNAcentral lists this ribosomal RNA (415 nucleotides) under uncultured microorganism. RNAcentral's name for it is "bacterial SSU rRNA". It matches the Rfam family "Bacterial small subunit ribosomal RNA", at positions 9 to 420 of the family's 1533-position model. The record is from RNAcentral.